GACGAACGCUGGCGGCGUGCUUAACACAUGCAAGUCGAACGGAAAGGCCCUGCUUUUGUGGGGUGCUCGAGUGGCGAACGGGUGAGUAACACGUGAGUAACCUGCCCUUGACUUUGGGAUAACUUCAGGAAACUGGGGCUAAUACCGGAUAGGAGCUCCUGCUGCAUGGCGGGGGUUGGAAAGUUUCGGCGGUUGGGGAUGGACUCGCGGCUUAUCAGCUUGUUGGUGGGGUAGUGGCUUACCAAGGCUUUGACGGGUAGCCGGCCUGAGAGGGUGACCGGCCACAUUGGGACUGAGAUACGGCCCAGACUCCUACGGGAGGCAGCAGUGGGGAAUAUUGCACAAUGGGCGGAAGCCUGAUGCAGCAACGCCGCGUGCGGGAUGACGGCCUUCGGGUUGUAAACCGCUUUCGCCUGUGACGAAGCGUGAGUGACGGUAAUGGGUAAAGAAGCAGCGGCUAACUACGUG
This 468-nucleotide ribosomal RNA is filed under the name uncultured bacterium. RNAcentral describes it as "partial 16S ribosomal RNA". It matches the Rfam family "Bacterial small subunit ribosomal RNA", at positions 28 to 507 of the family's 1533-position model. The record is from RNAcentral.